Molecule: ribosomal RNA, 253 nt
Filed under: uncultured bacterium
Lineage: Bacteria
Description: partial 16S ribosomal RNA
Rfam family: Bacterial small subunit ribosomal RNA
Source: RNAcentral
UACGUAGGGUGCGAGCGUUGUCCGGAAUUAUUGGGCGUAAAGAGCUUGUAGGCGGUUUGUCGCGUCUGCCGUGAAAAUUCGAGGCUCAACCUCGAACUUGCGGUGGGUACGGGCAGACUAGAGUGUGGUAGGGGAGACUGGAAUUCCUGGUGUAGCGGUGAAAUGCGCAGAUAUCAGGAGGAACACCGAUGGCGAAGGCAGGUCUCUGGGCCGUAACUGACGCUGAGGAGCGAAAGCGUGGGGAGCGAACAGG